AAUCUUCCGCAAGGGACGUAAGUCUGACGGAGCAUCGCCUCGUGAUAGAUGAUGGUUAACUGAUCGUAAAACUCUGUUGUUAGGGAAGAACAAGUACCGGAGUCACUGCCGGUACCUUGACUGUACCUGCCGAGAAAGCCACGGCGAACUACGUGCCAGCAGCCGCGGUAAUACGUAGGGUGCCAGCGUGGUCCGGAUUUAUUGGGCCUAAAGCGCGCGCAGGCGGUCUUUUAAGUCUGAUGUGAAAUCUUACAGCUUAACUGUAAGCGGUCAUUGGAAACUGGGAGAAUUGAGUGCAGAAGAGGAGAGUGGAAUUCCAUGUGUAGCGGUGAAAUGCGUAGAGAUAUGGAGGAACACCAGUGGCGAAGGCGACUCUCUGGUCUGUAACUGACGCUGAGGCGCGAAAGCGUGGGGAUCAAACA
RNAcentral lists this ribosomal RNA (422 nucleotides) under uncultured bacterium. RNAcentral describes it as "partial 16S ribosomal RNA". It matches the Rfam family "Bacterial small subunit ribosomal RNA", at positions 360 to 774 of the family's 1533-position model. The record is from RNAcentral.